Molecule: non-coding RNA, 30 nt
Filed under: Homo sapiens (human)
Lineage: Eukaryota; Metazoa; Chordata; Mammalia; Primates; Hominidae
Source: RNAcentral
GGCCUGGUUGGUGGGCCGUCUAGCAGUUGA